RNAcentral lists this ribosomal RNA (669 nucleotides) under uncultured fungus. RNAcentral describes it as "LSU rRNA". It matches the Rfam family "Eukaryotic large subunit ribosomal RNA", at positions 23 to 664 of the family's 3401-position model. Lineage: Eukaryota; Fungi. The record is from RNAcentral.
ACCCGCUGAACUUAAGCAUAUCAAUAAGCGGAGGAAAAGAAACUAACAAGGAUUCCCCUAGUAACGGCGAGUGAAGAGGGAAAAGCUCAAAUUUGAAAUCUGGCGGCCUUCGGUCGUCCGAGUUGUAAUCUAGAGAAGUGUUUUCCGCGCUGGACCGUGUACAAGUCCUUUGGAACAAGGCGUCAUAGAGGGUGAGAAUCCCGUCUAGGACACGGACUGCCAGUGCUUUGUGAUACACUCUCCACGAGUCGAGUUGUUUGGGAAUGCAGCUCAAAAUGGGUGGUAAAUUCCAUCUAAAGCUAAAUACAGGCGAAAGACCGAUAGCGAACAAGUACCGUGAGGGAAAGAUGAAAAGCACUUUGGAAAGAGAGUUAAAAAGUACGUGAAAUUGUUGAAAGGGAAACGCUUGAAGUCAGUCGCGUCUUCAGAAACUCAGCCUGAUCCUUUGUGGUCUGGCGUACUUUUCUGUUGGACGGGCCAGCAUCAGUUUUGGCCGGCAGAGAAAGGGGAGAGGAAGGUGGCACCCUCGGGUGUGUUAUAGCCUCUCGUCGUAUGUGCCGGCUGGGACUGAGGACCGCAGCACGCCCUGAAACAUGGGCCGGGGUUCGCCCACGUAACGUGCUUAGGAUGCUGGCGUAAUGGCUUUAAGCGACCCGUCUUGAAACACGG